UCCUGAGGUGGUGAUAGCACUAUCCCAGUCUCCUGGAACUCCCUGAAGAUGCUAGGACAUCCUCUGUCUGGGUUGAUUUAGAAGAAAUCUGGGUGGGACCAGACAGCAUCUCACACUUUAUUAGAAGCCACCCACAGGAGGGCACGGCAGCAGAGAUCACAUUUUAAUGGGGAGAAAGUGUGGCUGAGGGGUUGACUGGAUGGCCUAGGGUCACCCCGCUGGGGCUGGAAAUCUAUAAUUUGAAAAGCUUCUUAGUGAUUCUGAUGCGCAGUCUUGGCUGAGGACCAAAGGCCCUCAUUGGGAUCUUGCAUUUGGAUGUCAAAGGAAUAGAGCAGAGAAGACAUAAGUAGCUGCUCUGGGAGGGGCAGAGAAGAGGGACAUUUGUAGGACAUACAGCAAGGACAAAUGCUGAUGUAUGUAUUAUUGUAAAUUAAACUGUUUUUAUAAUAAUAUAUUACAAUUAUAAUUAUAAAUACAUCCACAUGCUAAAAAAAGUCGAAACAUCCAUUUGGAUAUAAAAUGAAGAGUAACCCCUACCCUGUCUUUAGGAGUUGUCUGUUCUUACAGGACAGAAGUUCUCAUUCCUGACUACAAUCUAUGGUGGUCUGAAAAAAUACAAACAUCUGGCCCCUUCCUCAGAGCUACUGAAUCACAAUGCCUAAGAAUCUGAGCAGCUGUAUUUUAAAAACUUUAUAGGUGAUUCUGACAUGCAGCUAGAUUUGUUAUCUAAUGGUUCAUAUGUUCCUUUACUUUUUUACCUAUUUAUAACGUUAUCAGGUUACUUGGGUUUUGCUGAGAGUCUAUUUUUAUCCUGUGAUCCCUCAGAAUUCUGGGCUGUCAUCUUGGCCUUUAGGGGGAAUCCACACAAAUCUGGGCAAGAACCUCCUCGCUCCACAACUGCUUUUGUACAGCACUGGAUCUUGUUGGCUCUACAGGAAGCAUCAUGCAGGAAACAUUUGUGAAAAUGUGGUUGUGAAAUCAUGGUAAUAGUAGCAACAUUAGUAUAAAUCAGACGGAAAGAAAAAAAAUAGCCCAUAAACCCUCCAUCCAUCCCAAUAAAUCAAACUACUUUCAUUUUUGCCUGUGACUUUUUCUAUCUGCAUAAGCAUGGAUACAUAAACAGUGGAAAAGUUGAUGCGACUCGGCAGUGUAUGUUUGCAUCUCUCUGAGAUCAGACCAAAAUAAUGAAAGGGUUGGUAUUCCCAGAUGGUUAAGCAAUUACCCCAAAUUAUUUGGCUUUGAACUUCCUAAAGAAAUACAAAUACUUUUCAAACAUUCUCUACCAUAAGCUAAAUGUGAAGGUGUUUUGUUCUCAGUCCAGCUACUUAAAAUCCCCAAAGAAUGUAUUUAAAAAUUUUUUCAAAAUAUGUUGUCCAAACAUUUCAAUUCUAUCUUUUUUCUUUCUUUUAUCAGAAGCUGUGGAGCUUCUAAACAAUGAUAACUUAUGGGCGGAGUUCUCUUAGAGUGUGUAAGCUCUGAGUUUGGAUUUUUUUUUUUAGGCAUUUAUUUUCAAAUCUAAAUCUUUCUUCAAUUUAUCCUCCUAUGGGGCCUAACAGAUGAAAAUGACAAUAAAUAUUUUAAA
Manis pentadactyla (Chinese pangolin) is the source of this 1582-nucleotide long non-coding RNA. RefSeq lists it as uncharacterized. The transcript has 3 exons. Lineage: Eukaryota; Metazoa; Chordata; Mammalia; Pholidota; Manidae. The record is from RefSeq and is a predicted model, not a curated record.